AGACGGAGGGAGCAAGCGUUGCUCGGAAUCACUGGGCGUAAAGGGCGUGUAGGCGGGACAGCAAGUCGGGUGUGAAAGCCCUGGGCUCAACCUAGGAAGGGCAUUCGAUACUACUGUUCUUGAGUAUGACAGAGGAAAGCGGAAUUCCCGGUGUAGCGGUGAAAUGCGUAGAUAUCGGGAAGAACACCUGUGGCGAAGGCGGCUUUCUGGGUCACAACUGACGCUGAGACGCGAAAGCUAGGGGAGCGAACGGGAUUAGAUACCCCAGUAGUCC
Molecule: ribosomal RNA, 274 nt
Filed under: uncultured bacterium
Lineage: Bacteria
Description: partial 16S ribosomal RNA
Rfam family: Bacterial small subunit ribosomal RNA
Source: RNAcentral